UCGUGGGGUGACUUGUCUGCUUAAUUGCGAUAACGAGCGAGACCUUACUCUGCUAAAUAGCCGGGCUAGCUUUGGCUGGUCGCCGGCUUCUUAGAGAGACUAUCAACUCAAGUUGAUGGAAGUUUGAGGCAAUAACA
Molecule: ribosomal RNA, 137 nt
Filed under: uncultured eukaryote
Lineage: Eukaryota
Description: partial 18S ribosomal RNA
Rfam family: Eukaryotic small subunit ribosomal RNA
Source: RNAcentral